GCGCUAUCUGCUCUCUGCAAGCACUUAGACAACCUGUGGGAAGAACACCGUGGCAGCGUGGUCCUGUUUGCCUGGAUGCAGUUUCUUAAGGAAGAGACCUUAGCGUACCUGAAUAUUGUCUCUGCUUUUGAACUCACGAUGGGUUCUCAGAAAAAGGUUCAGAGAAGGAUGGCUCAAGCUUCUUCCAACACAGAGCUAGAUUUUGGAGGACCCACUGGAUCUGACAUAGACCAAGAGGAAGUUGUGGACGAGAGAGCCGUGCAGGAUGUGGAAUCAUUGUCGAGUCUGAUCCAGGAAAUCUUGGACUUUGAUCAAGCUCAGCAGAUAAAAUGCUUUAAUAGUAAAUUGUUCCUGUGCAAUAUCUGUUUCUGUGAGAAACUGGGUAGUGAGUGCAUGUACUUCUUGGGGUGCAGGCAUGUGCACUGCAAAGCCUGUCUCAAGGACUACUUUGAAAUCCAGAUCAGAGAUGGCCAAGUUCAAUGCCUCAACUGCCCAGAACCCAAGUGCCCUUCAGUGGCCACUCCUGGUCAGGUCAAAGAGCUAGUGGAAGCAGAGCUGUUUGCCCGUUAUGACCGCCUUCUCCUCCAGCCAACCUUGGACCUGAUGGCCCAUGUGGUGUACUGCCCCCGCCCAUCCUGCCAGCUGCCUGUGAUGCAGGAGCCUGGCUGUACCAUGGGCAUCUGCUCCAGCUGCAAUUUCGCCUUCUGUACCCUGUGCAGACUGACCUACCACGGGGUCUCUCCAUGUAAGGUGACAGCAGAGAAAUUAAUGGACUUACGAAAUGAGUACCUGCAAGCAGAUGAGGCCAAUAAAAGAUUUUUGGAACAGAGGUAUGGUAAGAGGGUGAUUCAGAAGGCACUGGAAGAGAUGGAAAGUAAGGAGUGGCUAGAAAAGAACUCAAAGAGCUGCCCAUGUUGUGGAACUCCCAUUGAGAAAUUAGAUGGAUGUAACAAGAUGACAUGUACUGGCUGUAUGCAAUAUUUCUGCUGGAUUUGCAUGGGUUCUCUUUCUAGAGCAAACCCUUAUAAACAUUUCACUGAUCCUGCUUCCCCGUGUUUUAACCGGUUGUUCCAUGCUGUGGAUGUUAAUGGAGAUAUUUGGGAAGAUGAGAUUGAAGACUAGUUAACUUCUACUGCUCAAGAUAUGGAAGUGGAAUGGCUUGCCCUAAUCUUUUGUCAAGUAUACAGAGUAACUUUGCAGGAUAUUUAGGGUGCCAUUGAUUUAGUCUUCCUAUGUAGAAGAUAUGGAAGAACAAGGUUUUAUUUUCAUGUGGUACUACUGAUUAAGGCACAUGUAUACAUUUUUUCACUGCAGCAUAAUUGAGGAAGUAUUAAGCCAAAGGUUCAGAAAAUGAAAACUAGAAAAUAUUAAAUAUUACAAUGUGCCCAAAGCUUUGAAUAGUUAAAAUUAAAUAUUUAUUUUCUUCUCCAAGCUUUAGGGAAAGAGAGAGGGGUCAAGAGUUAAAGACCUUUUUAUCUCUGAGAAGCAUCCCUCUAAGACAUUCUGUGGGAGCUCUCUCAGUAGUACUCCUUAACACUUGGGGUAGGUAGAAGCCUUACUAAAAUUGUGCCGAGAGCCUGAUCUUAUUUACUCAGUAUUACAUUCUUUCCAACCUGAUUUCUGCUAAUUUUAUUUGGAGGAAGCCCCUUACUCUCUAACUGAUUAGAUGGCCCCGUGUCAUUUUGAUCUGCUGCUUUUCAGAAUAGAAAUUUACAGAUAAUUUAAAAAAUAUUUUUUAGUACGUAAACACUGUAGGUCACCUAAUAUAUUUUAUCAGUGGUCUAUAGUCCACUGGUUUUGAGCCAAGUCUAGAAUUUAUUGAUAGUGGCUUAGAAGAAUUUCAGCCCUUUUAAACUUUCCUGCUGCUUCUAGGCAGUAGAGCCUAGAUUCAGAACGACUUGCCUUUGCUACCUUUUGUUCUACAUUCUCUCCGGUUGACCCUUGCCCUACCUUUCAUUGGUAAGGACAAUUUUCAUAUUAGCUCCAACAGCUCAUAUUUUUAUUUCCCCUGCUGGGAUAGGAGAAAGCCUAAUAUAUUCCCAAGCUGAGCUUUAAUUAUCUGCGUUUUGAACACUGCACCACCAUAGUUCCAGAGCUAAGUUUCUGAAUUCUUUUUAAAAGGGCUUCUCUAACGUGCUAUGGAAAUUUGUUUUCCUAUCCUCUCUCUUUUUUUUUUUUUUUGGCAUCAGCACUGUUUCAGGGGAUGAUUUUUGGCUUGAUACCUAGAUCCCUGUUCUUGGGUUUUGUUGGCUUUUUGAAAAAUUGUCUUUCCUUAUGGUUUGGUGAGUGGGUUGGUAGCAAAAUAAGAUUUUUGGUAAAAAGGAUAGAAGAAUUCAGCUAAAGCUGUGAACAUGUUCUUUUUUCCUACCUUGUCAUUGAAAAUUGGGGAAUCGCUUUUAACCAUUUUAUGUGUGUGUAUCCAAAGAGCAUGGACUGUUUCUGGAUUGUCAAUGAGGAUGCUAUAUCUUAAAAAUAAAAAUUAUUUAAAAAUUG
Molecule: RNA transcript, 2493 nt
Organism: Capra hircus (goat)
Lineage: Eukaryota; Metazoa; Chordata; Mammalia; Artiodactyla; Bovidae
Gene name: E3 ubiquitin-protein ligase RNF14 pseudogene
Exons: 1
Source: RefSeq, a predicted model, not a curated record